RNAcentral lists this ribosomal RNA (403 nucleotides) under uncultured bacterium. Its description in RNAcentral is "partial 16S ribosomal RNA". It matches the Rfam family "Bacterial small subunit ribosomal RNA", at positions 30 to 526 of the family's 1533-position model. The record is from RNAcentral.
AUUGAACGCUGGCGGCAGGCCUAACACAUGCAAGUCGAGCGAGCGGCGGACGGGUGAGUAAUGUAUGGGGACUGCCCGAUAGAGGGGGAUAACUACUGGAAACGGUGGCUAAUACCGCAUACUAUCGGAUAACCCAUAUGGGAUUAGCUAGUAGGUGGGGUAAAGGCUCACCUAGGCGACGAUCUCUAGCUGGUCUGAGAGGAUGAUCAGCCACACUGGGAAUGAGACACGGCCCCGACUCCUACGGAGGCAGCAGUGGGGAAUAUUGCACAAUGGGCGCAAGCCUGAUGCAGCCAUGCCGCGGGUAUUAAGAAGGCCUUCGAGUUGUAAAGUACUUUCCGCGAGGAGGCGUUACUCGCAGAAGAAGCACCGGGUAACUCCGUGCCAGCCGCAGCGGUAAUUC